This 208-nucleotide long non-coding RNA is filed under the name Homo sapiens (human). RNAcentral's name for it is "non-protein coding lnc-RELL2-3:1". Lineage: Eukaryota; Metazoa; Chordata; Mammalia; Primates; Hominidae. The record is from RNAcentral.
ACACAAAUUUUCAUAAAAAUCCUUAUGGGGGAGGCCAUCACUCUUGAGGUUGAAUCCUUGGAUAAAACAGAAAAUAUAAAGGCCAACAUCCAGGAUAAGAAAGGAAUUCCUCCUGACCAAUAAAGACUGAUCUUUGCUGGCAAGCAACUAGAAGGUAGAUGUGCUUUGUCUGACUACAGCAUUCAAAAGGAGUCCACUCUUCAUCUUG